RNAcentral lists this ribosomal RNA (523 nucleotides) under Pila celebensis. RNAcentral describes it as "partial 16S ribosomal RNA". It matches the Rfam family "Bacterial large subunit ribosomal RNA", at positions 1819 to 2597 of the family's 2925-position model. The record is from RNAcentral. Lineage: Eukaryota; Metazoa; Mollusca; Gastropoda; Architaenioglossa; Ampullariidae.
GUCUCUUUGUUUACGUUAAUAUAAAGAGUCUAACCUGCCCAGUGAUUUUUUUAACGGCCGCGGUACUUUGACCGUGCAAAGGUAGCAUAAUCAUUUGCCUUAUAAUUGAAGGCUUGUAUGAAUGGUUUAACAAGAAUUAGCCUGUCUUUUACAAAUUAAAAUGAAAUUGAUCUUCAGGUGCAAAGGCCUGAAUAUUACUAAUAGACAAGAAGACCCUAUUGAGCUUUAAAAAUCUAUAGCAAUAUAAAUUAUAUUUAAAACAAAAUUUCAAAUUACUAUAAUCUUUUUAGUUGGGGCGACUAUGGAAUAGGUAAAACUUCCAUAUACCGAAUUAUUUGUUAUUAAUUUAUUUAAAUUUGAUCCAAAAUAUUUUGAUUAAUAGAAUAAGUUACCAUAGGGAUAACAGCAUAAUCUAUCUUAAGAGUUCUAAUCGAAAGAAAGGUUUGUGACCUCGAUGUUGGAUUAAAAUAUCCUAAGGGUGUAGAAGCUUUUAAGGGUUGGUCUGUUCGACCAUUGAAAUUUU